Long non-coding RNA from Neofelis nebulosa (Clouded leopard), 1317 nucleotides. RefSeq lists it as uncharacterized. Lineage: Eukaryota; Metazoa; Chordata; Mammalia; Carnivora; Felidae. The transcript has 3 exons. The record is from RefSeq and is a predicted model, not a curated record.
CCCCCGGCGGCCAGUGCGUGUGCGUGUGCGUGCGCGCGCGCCCGGCCGGAAGUGCGCUCGCGUGGAGUUGUGGGCGCGUGGUGGGUUUGCCGGUUGGGAUCGUGGGCAUGGAACCACCACCUGGAGAGCUGAGGCAGGACGAUCAGAGCCCUACGGAUUCUCAGUGGUGCCACAUCGGAGGUAGAGCCUCAGUACUGGGUGUGGGAUCUGGGCCGAAGCAAGGAGCCCUCGUUUCUCAGCCACACUCGCAGGAGGUUAGCCUCAGCAUUAGGUUGAUGGGGACAAGAUGAAACUGGCUAUGUCCUGCCCCAGGUCUCCUAUUCCUCCAAGCACAACAGUUUGGAAAUGAGGCCAAUUAAUAACCCUACAGUGGCCUCUAAGUGUUCAAGUAAGAGGAAGAGUUGCUGUCUCUCACUUGAACUCAAAAGCUAGAAAUGAUUAAGCUUAGUGAGGAAGGCAUCUCAAAAGCUGAGAACGAACAAAAGCUAGGCCUCUUGCACUGGCUAGCCAAGCCACGACUGCAAGGGAAAAGUUCUUGAGAGAAAUUAAAAGUGCUACUCCAGUGAACACACACGCUAAGAAAGUGAGACAGCCGAAUUGCUGAUACGGAGAGAAAUUGGUAGUGGUCUGGACAAAAUAUCAAAGCAGCCACAACCUUCCCUUAAGCCAAAGCCUCAUCCGGAGCAAGGCUUCAACUCUCUUCGAUUCUAGGAAGGCUGAGAGAGGUGAGGAAGCUGCAGAAGAGAAGUCUGCAGCCAGCAGAGGGAGGUCCAUGAGGUUUAAGGAAGGGAGUGGAGUCCAUAACCUCAGGGUGCAAGGAGGGAAGCAGCAGGUGCUGACGUGGAGCUGUAGCAAGGGACCCAGAGAUCUAGCAGGCAGGGCUGCGCUUCACAGCCUCAGAGGACGCGCUGACUCUCCUGUUAGGGGCUAAUGCAGCUGGUGACUGUAAGUGGAAGGCAGUGCCUGCUCACCAUCCUGAAAAUUCUACGGCCCUGGAGGAUUAUGCUCAACCACACUGCCUGUGCUGUAGAAAUGGGGCAACAAAGCCUAGAUGACAGUACAUCUGUGUACAAUCUGAUUGGUUGAAGAUUUGAAGCCUACCGUUGAGAACUGCUCUGCAGGAAGGAUUUAUUUCAUCAUGCUCCUUGACAGUGUACCUGGUCACCCAAGAGUUCUGAUGGAGGCAUAGCAAGAGAUUUUAACUUUUUUCUUGCCUGCUAGCUAACACAACAUCCCUUCUGCAGGCCAUGGAAAAAGGAGUAAUUCUGACUUUCAAGUUUUCUUAUUUAAGUAAUACAUGUUGGGGCGCCUGGGUGG